RNAcentral lists this transfer RNA (82 nucleotides) under Smittium megazygosporum. It matches the Rfam family "tRNA". From Rfam's summary of the family: Transfer RNA (tRNA) molecules are approximately 80 nucleotides in length. The record is from Rfam by way of RNAcentral. Lineage: Eukaryota; Fungi; Kickxellomycota; Harpellomycetes; Harpellales; Legeriomycetaceae.
GUCGGUGUGUCCGAGUGGUUAAGGAGACAGAUUAGAAAUCUGUUGGGCUCUGCCCGCACAGGUUCAAAUCCUGUCGCCGACG